This 539-nucleotide ribosomal RNA is filed under the name uncultured bacterium. RNAcentral's name for it is "bacterial SSU rRNA". It matches the Rfam family "Bacterial small subunit ribosomal RNA", at positions 305 to 835 of the family's 1533-position model. The record is from RNAcentral.
GCGCCACAUUGGGACUGAGACACGGCCCAAACUCCUUCAGGAGGCACCAGUGGGGAAUUUUGGACAAUGGGGGCAACCCUGAUCCAGCCAUGCCGCGUGUAUGAAGACCGCCUUCGGGUUGUAAAGUACUUUUGUCGGGGAAGAAAAGGUUAGUGUUAAUACCACUGACUGAUGACGGUACCCGAAGAAUAAGCACCGGCUAACUACGUGCCAGCAGCCGCGGUAAUACGUAUGGUGCAAGCGUUAAUCGGAAUUACUGGGCGUAAAGCGGGCGCAGACGGUUACAUAAGUCAGGUGUGAAAUCCCCUAGCUCAACUUGGGAAUGGCGCUUUUUUCUGUGUAGCUAGAGUGUGUCAGAGGGAGGUAGAAUUCCGCGUGUACCAUUGAAAUGCGUAGAGAUGCGGAGGAAUACCGAUGGCGAAGGCAGCCUCCUGGGAUAACACUGACGUUCUUGCCCUAAAGCGUGGGUAGUCAAACAGGAUUAGAUACCCUGGUAUUCCACCCCCUAAACGAUGACCAUUACCUGUUGGUGUCGCUUG